Long non-coding RNA from Telopea speciosissima, 881 nucleotides. RefSeq lists it as uncharacterized. The transcript is spliced from 2 exons. The record is from RefSeq and is a predicted model, not a curated record. NCBI's taxonomy places the organism in Eukaryota, Viridiplantae, Streptophyta, Magnoliopsida, Proteales, Proteaceae.
GAACAAAAGGUUAAAGUGUUAGAGACUUGCAAAGAAAAAGAGAACAAAGAUCCCAACCUUCUCAUUGCCCUUUACUAUGCCCAUUGAACUCCCUCCACUGAAACACAUUAUUCCUAUGAGCCAUGCUGUCUUGUGGUCACUGGGCUUGUCGACAAUGCCAUAAUCUAAUUGAGCUGUAACAUGCAAGACACAACCUACUGCAGUGCAAUAUUCAAGGCCCUUCAUAAACAGUACUGGCCUUACCACGUGGGUUAUGAGUGUAUCAUUCAAUAGUAAGCCAUGAAGAUUAAAAUGGGCUUCUUGUGGGUGUAUCUACCAUAUGCCGAAGACCUGAGGGUUUCUGUUGUCGGUGGAGCCAUCACUAAAUGUGUGGCAUUUGAGGUCAGGAUUGCUUCUUACUGAUGAUUGAUGAUUUGUUCAAAGAACCUUUUCAAGCUUACUGUCAGAUAUUUGAAGUUAUUAAUGAGCUGCAAAUGCUGAAUGCCAUUAGAUGAGCACCGUGAUCUGAAAGUUAUCACAUGAGCUUUUUGCACAGCAUGAAAAGAAAUUGAUGCAACCAACCACUAAACUUGUUAUGUUCUUUGAGUCUACAUCCUUUCUGAAAUAUCCCUUAUGAUGAUGUAGGGUGAGUGAAAUUAAAAUGACUAGCCCCAAACGGCCUACUAUGGAGCAACGUUGCACAUGUGGAAAGAGUCCAGAUCAUGUUUUUUUUGUUUAGAAUUUCAAUUGGAAUAAAUAUUACCAACUAAAUAUUAUUGGUCUAUUAGUUUUAUUUCUCUCUGUUAAACUGGUGUUAUUUGUUGGCUAGUUGACCUGCAAUGGAAUAAAUCAAUCUUGUCAGUUGAUGUUUUAAAGUACAAUAAUCUAACAGCAUUCUUUGA